AUUCAGCUAACGAGUCCCAAAUAGGACGAAAUGCGCUUUAUCCUGGAU
RNAcentral lists this non-coding RNA (48 nucleotides) under Trichobilharzia regenti. The record is from RNAcentral. Lineage: Eukaryota; Metazoa; Platyhelminthes; Trematoda; Strigeidida; Schistosomatidae.